GAGAGAGAGAGAGGGGUAACAUUUUAGAGAAAAAAAUUAUUUUGAUGGUGAAAAAAUAUUUUAUUGAUUGUCUUGACAUUAAAAAAAAAGAGAUUUUAAGUGAUUUUAAGUGUUAAAAGUAGUAUAUUUUGUAAGACAUUAGAUUGGCCGCUUAUUUGCAAGAUUUUUAUGUAUUUAUAGAUAUGCUUGAAUUAUUUCUAGUUUAAAGUUUUAUAGUUUAAAAAAAUAUAGAUUUAUGCACCAUUCUAAAAUUUUUU
This 257-nucleotide long non-coding RNA is filed under the name Amborella trichopoda. RNAcentral describes it as "long non-coding RNA (ATRI_LNC002626)". Lineage: Eukaryota; Viridiplantae; Streptophyta; Magnoliopsida; Amborellales; Amborellaceae. The record is from RNAcentral.